This 497-nucleotide ribosomal RNA is filed under the name uncultured bacterium. Its description in RNAcentral is "partial 16S ribosomal RNA". It matches the Rfam family "Bacterial small subunit ribosomal RNA", at positions 28 to 507 of the family's 1533-position model. The record is from RNAcentral.
GAUGAACGCUGGCGGCGUGCCUAAUACAUGCAAGUCGAGCGAACAGACGAGGAGGUUGCUCCUCUGACGUUAGCGGCGGAUGGGUGAGUAACAGGUGGAUAACCUACCUAUAAGACAGGGGUAACGUCGGGAAACAGGAGCUAAUACAGGAGAAGAUAAUGAAGCGUAUGGGUCAAGAGUGAAAGACGGCUUUGCUGUAACCUAUAGAUGGAUACGCGCGGCAUUAGCUAGUUUGGAAGGUAGCGGCUUACCAAGGCCACGAUGCGUAGCCGACCUGAGAGGGUGAUCGGCCACACGAGAACUGAGACACGGCCCAGACUCCGACAGGAGGCAACAGUAGGGAAUCCUCCGCAAAGGGGGAGAGCCUGACGUAGCAACGUCGCGGGAGUGAUGAAGGUGUUCGGCUCGUAAAGCUCAGUUAUAAGUGAAGAACAAAUGUGUAAGUAGCAAUGCACAUCUUGACGGUACCUGAUCAGAAAGCAACGGCUAACUACGUG